GAGCGAAAGCGUGGGGAGCGAACAGGAUUAGAUACCCUGGUAGUCCACGCCGUAAACGGUGGGCGCUAGUUGUGCGAACCUUCCACGGUUUGUGCGACGCAGCUAACGCAUUAAGCGCCCCGCCUGGGGAGUACGAUCGCAAGAUUAAAACUCAAAGGAAUUGACGGGGCCCCGCACAAGCAGCGGAGCAUGCGGCUUAAUUCGACGCAACGCGAAGAACCUUACCAAGGCUUGACAUAUACAGGAAUAUGGCAGAGAUGUCAUAGCCGCAAGGUCUGCAUACAGGUGGUGCAUGGUUGUCGUCAGCUCGUGUCGUGAGAUGUUGGGUUAAGUCCCGCAACGAGCGCAACCCUCGUUCUGUGUUGCCAGCAUUUAGUUGGGGACUCACAGGAGACUGCCGGGGUUAACUCGGAGGAAGGUGGGGAUGACGUCAAAUCAUCAUGCCCCUUAUGUCUUGGGCUGCACGCAUGCUACAAUGGCUGGUACAAACGGCUGCAAUACCGCAAGGUGGAGCGAAUCCGAGAAAGCCAGUCUCAGUUCGGAUUGGGGUCUGCAACUCGACCCCAUGAAGUCGGAGUUGCUAGUAAUCGUAGAUCAGCAACGCUACGGUGAAUACGUUCCCGGGGCUUGUACACACCGCCCGUCACAUCACGAAAGUCGGUAACACCCAAAGUCAGUGGCCCAACC
This 687-nucleotide ribosomal RNA is filed under the name uncultured Actinomycetes bacterium. RNAcentral describes it as "bacterial SSU rRNA". It matches the Rfam family "Bacterial small subunit ribosomal RNA", at positions 751 to 1440 of the family's 1533-position model. The record is from RNAcentral. Lineage: Bacteria; Bacillati; Actinomycetota; Actinomycetes.